CGGCCGGGUGAGUAACACGUGGAUAACCUACCUAUAAGACUGGGAUAACUUCGGGAAACCGGAGCUAAUACCGGAUAAUAUUUUGAACCGCAUGGUUCAAAAGUGAAAGACGGUCUUGCCGUCACUUAUAGAUGGAUCCGCGCUGCAUUAGCUAGUUGGUAAGGUAACGGCUUACCAAGGCAACGAUGCAUAGCCGACCUGAGAGGGUGAUCGGCAACGCUGGAACUGAGACACGGUCCAG
Molecule: ribosomal RNA, 241 nt
Filed under: uncultured Staphylococcus sp.
Lineage: Bacteria; Bacillati; Bacillota; Bacilli; Caryophanales; Staphylococcaceae
Description: partial 16S ribosomal RNA
Rfam family: Bacterial small subunit ribosomal RNA
Source: RNAcentral